CCACACACCCACCUUCUUCCCGAUCGGGACCCCCCGCACCCGCCAUCUUCCUCGCCGCCCCCACCCUACCUUCUUCCUCGCUGCCCCCACCCCACCUUCUUUGCCUUCGGGCUCCCAGGCCCCCACGCGCCGGCCACCAUGACCUCCACCACCACCUCCAUAUCCACCGCCGGCCGCCCAAAAGUGUUGUGCCGUCAGCCACCCCUUCCUACCCCAGCGUGAGAUCUCCCCCUUCCCUGUUCCUCCGCCUCCCGCCAGAUCAGCGCCGGCGCGCCCCCUCCAACGCACAGCCAGCACCGCCGGAUCCGGCUGCCGCGAGGCACCUGCGCCGCACUCCCUCUGAGAACCCAGCACAUCAGCCAAGCAAAGGCUGGAUCCACCUCCACCGCGCGCUUGCCCCGACCGGAUCGGGCUGGACUCCCCCGUGCUAGCCCCCCGACCUCCCCUCGGCGGAGAUCCUCGGCCCCCCUUUGAGUGUGCCCACUCCAUAGUGCAGGAUUCGGUGAGUCGGUGCCGCCCCGCAAGGUUCUUCUCCACCCCCAACCGCCUUGAGGUGUGUGACCCCGACCACAUCUUCAUCGGCCAUGGACCCAUGUAUCCCGUGUCGGAUCCGAGUUCGUCCCUCCCCUGAGCAACACCGCGCCCACCUGAAUCGCCGAGGAUGAGCUCUCUCCUCCUCGUGGCGGUCUCCGGCCAGGGCCUCAUGUGCACCAUCUGUGCAGCUCGGUGGCGGCCCCCGUGCAGCUCGGUGGCGGCCCCCGUGCAGCUCGGUGGCGGCCCCCGUGCAACUCGGCCGCGGCCCCCAUCUUCAUGCAGGUUCAUCGUCCAUCGCUUGCCUCUGCUGGCCUCCCUCGUCGUCAGCCACGACGCCGCAACCACCGGCCUCGAGCAUCCUCUCCUCCCCAUCGAUUGUUUUUUGCUUUUUUAGAUUUCACUUGGGCACACCGCUGCAGUUUUGUUGGGGCAUCAGUUGGCGGGCGGCGGGAGAAGAGAGCAGCACGCUGGCCGGUUCUCUUCCUCUUCUUCAACUGCAUUCACCUACAGGCCGCCCUACGCCCUUGUUCUCUUCCUCUUCUUCCACCGCUGGAGUUCGGUUCAGAAGUUGGAGGUCGUGUAGCUCGAUUGGUGCUCCCCCAGUGCAGCUCAUAACAAUUACUCUAUUUAGAAAUGCAGUGUAGAGCAUAGUUGACAGGGAUGCUCAAGUGUAGUUUGUCUCUUUUUUCUUGAAGUAUUGUGUAGUUUGUCACUUGUGUCAUGCAGGUUCCCUUUGUCUAUGUGGAUCACUUUGUGAAAAAAAAUUGUACCAAGGAGUUCCCAUUUUAUUGUUUUUUGGAGGAGUUAUUUUUGCAAUAUUGUAUGGACUAGUUCAUAAUCUGUUAAAAAACAAUACAGUUCACAGAGAAAACCUUGGCGGUGCACUUUGCAAAACAAAGGGGUUCACUAUGUAAAAAAAAUGUAUAGAGGAGUUCACUUUUUAUUAUUUUUGGAGGAAUUGUUUUUUUUGGCAAAUUUGUAAGGACAUGGUGUAUAAUUUGUUAAAAUCAAUGCA
This 1549-nucleotide ribosomal RNA is filed under the name Triticum aestivum (bread wheat). Its description in RNAcentral is "partial small subunit ribosomal RNA". Lineage: Eukaryota; Viridiplantae; Streptophyta; Magnoliopsida; Poales; Poaceae. The record is from RNAcentral.